CCUACGGGGGGCUGUAGUGGGGAAUAUUGGACAAUGGGGGGAACCCUGAUCCAGCCAUGCCGCGUGUGUGAAGAAGGCCCUCGGGUUGUAAAGCACUUUCAGUGAGGAAGAACGCCUGGUGGUUAAUACCCAUCAGGAAAGACAUCACUCACAGAAGAAGCACUGGCUAACUCCGUGCCAGCAGCCGCGGUAAUACGGAGGGUGCGAGCGUUAAUCGGAAUUACUGGGCGUAAAGCGCGCGUAGGUGGCUUGAUAAGCCGGUUGUGAAAGCCCCGGGCUCAACCUGGGAACGGCAUCCGGAACUGUCAAGCUAGAGUGCAGGAGAGGAAGGUAGAAUUCCCGGUGUAGCGGUGAAAUGCGUAGAGAUCGGGAGGAAUACCAGUGGCGAAGGCGGCCUUCUGGACUGACACUGACACUGAGGUGCGAAAGCGUGGGUAGCAAACAGGAUUAGAUACCCUGGUAGUC
This 465-nucleotide ribosomal RNA is filed under the name Vreelandella stevensii. RNAcentral's name for it is "partial 16S ribosomal RNA". It matches the Rfam family "Bacterial small subunit ribosomal RNA", at positions 338 to 795 of the family's 1533-position model. Lineage: Bacteria; Pseudomonadati; Pseudomonadota; Gammaproteobacteria; Oceanospirillales; Halomonadaceae. The record is from RNAcentral.